CAGUAGCCGCGGUAAUACGUAGGGUGCGAGCGUUAAUCGGAAUUACCGGGCGUAAAGCGUGCGCAGGCGGUUAUGUAAGACAGUUGUGAAAUCCCCGGGCUCAACCUGGGAACUGCAUCUGUGACUGCAUAGCUAGAGUACGGUAGAGGGGGAUGGAAUUCCGCGUGUAGCAGUGAAAUGCGUAGAUAUGCGGAGGAACACCGAUGGCGAAAGCAAUCCCCUGGACCUGUACUGACGCUCAUGCACGAAAGCGUAGGGAGCAAACAGGAUUAGAUACCCCGGUAGUCCCUGUCUCUUAUAC
RNAcentral lists this ribosomal RNA (301 nucleotides) under uncultured bacterium. Its description in RNAcentral is "partial 16S ribosomal RNA". It matches the Rfam family "Bacterial small subunit ribosomal RNA", at positions 509 to 807 of the family's 1533-position model. The record is from RNAcentral.